AAUGAACGCUGGCGGCAUGCCUAACACAUGCAAGUCGAACGAGACCUUCGGGUCUAGUGGCGCACGGGUGCGUAACGCGUGGGAAUCUGCCCUUGGGUUCGGAAUAACUCGCCGAAAGGCGUGCUAAUACCGGAUGAUGACGUAAGUCCAAAGAUUUAUCACCCAAGGAUGAGCCGGCGUAGGAUUAGCUAGUUGGUGGGGUAAAGGCCCACCAAGGCGACGAUCCUUAGCUGGUCUGCGAGGAUGAUCAGCCACACUGGGACUGAGACACGGCCCAGACUCCUACGGGAGGCAGCAGUGGGGAAUAUUGGACAAUGGGCGAAAGCCUGAUCCAUCAAUGCCGCGUGAGUGAUGAAGGCCUUAGGGUUGUAAAGCUCUUUUACCCGGGAUGAUAAUGACAGUACCGGGAGAAUAAGCCCCGGCUAACUCCGUGCCAGCAGCCGCAGUAA
Molecule: ribosomal RNA, 449 nt
Filed under: uncultured bacterium
Lineage: Bacteria
Description: partial 16S ribosomal RNA
Rfam family: Bacterial small subunit ribosomal RNA
Source: RNAcentral